UGCAGAUUCUGGUUGACAUUUGUGAGG
RNAcentral lists this non-coding RNA (27 nucleotides) under Mus musculus (house mouse). Lineage: Eukaryota; Metazoa; Chordata; Mammalia; Rodentia; Muridae. The record is from RNAcentral.